This 586-nucleotide ribosomal RNA is filed under the name Halopteris minuta. RNAcentral's name for it is "partial 16S ribosomal RNA". It matches the Rfam family "Bacterial large subunit ribosomal RNA", at positions 1832 to 2594 of the family's 2925-position model. The record is from RNAcentral. Lineage: Eukaryota; Metazoa; Cnidaria; Hydrozoa; Leptothecata; Halopterididae.
CCUAAAAAUAAUUUAAGGUGACACCUGCCCAGUGAUUAAAAAAUUUAUUAAAAUAAAAAAUUUUAUUUCAACGGCCGCGGUAUUCUUGACUGUGUUAAUGUAGCAUAAUAAGUAGUCGUUUAAUUGGCGAAUGGUAUGAAUGGUAACACGAAGACUUAACUGUCUUAAAAAUAAGAUAAAAAAAUUAAGAUUAUAGUAAAGACGCUAUAAACAACUGUAAGACGAAAAGACCCUAUAAAGCUUAACUAUAAACUUUAUCUUUAUAAAUUCAAAAAUCAAUAUAGGUAAAGUUGGGUAGUUUAGUUGGGGCAACGACAUUUUAUAAAUAAAGAAUGUAAACAAUAUAAAAUAAUAUAUUUUAUUUAUUGUGUAACUUAUAAGUUUAACAAUCAUAAUUUGGGUUAUAGUGACCUGUUAAAAUAUUAAAAAAUAUUUAACAACAAAUAAAUAAAAGCUACUUUAGGGAUAACAGGUUAAUUUCGUCUUAGAGAUGAUAUUAAAGACGAAGUUUGACACCUCGAUGUUGAAUUAAGAUAUCCUGGUGGUGCAGCAGCUACCAAAGGUAGGUCUGUUCGACCUUAAAAAU